This is a non-coding RNA of Danio rerio (zebrafish), 1463 nucleotides long. The record is from RefSeq and is a predicted model, not a curated record. NCBI's taxonomy places the organism in Eukaryota, Metazoa, Chordata, Actinopteri, Cypriniformes, Danionidae.
CUGCAUUCAGAAAUGACCAUACUAUAUCAAAUGCAAAUAUGGUAAAACAGCUAAGCCAUCAAAGGGUUAAGUAACAAUGAGUUUGAAAAAAAAUGCACCAGCCUAGAGGACAGAUAGCAAACUUUUUUGUCCUCCCACUUCGCUCACUCUGGCUUUCUGAGAAGAUCCUGCAAGUACUGACUCAACGCAUAAAAAACAUCUCCAAGAUCUCAAAAAAUGGUGGUCACAAUUAAUCCAACUACUGAAUUGAACCUUUCAAGCUUCGACUGGAGUGUAAACACCACGGCAAAUGACUCUACAUUUAAUGAAACUGCGGAUAUGGUCAUCCGCUUGGCUUUAAUUGUCCUUCUUUUUAUCACCAUGGUGUCUCUGGGCUGCACAAUGGAUAUCUCAAAGAUCAAGGAUCAUCUCAUGAAACCCAAAGGAGUGGUGAUUGCAGUAGGGGCUCAGUAUGGCAUCAUGCCCUUCACUGCCUUCUGCCUGGCAAAGCUGUUUCGGUUAAGUCCUAUGGAGAGUUUGUCUGUGCUAAUUUGUGGCUGCUGUCCAGGAGGAAACCUCUCAAACAUUUUUGCUUUGGCCCUCCAGGGAGACAUGAACCUCAGUAUUGUGAUGACCGCUUGUUCCACAGUCCUGGCGUUGGCCAUGAUGCCCCUCUUGCUCUACCUGUACAGCUGGGGUUUCUCAAACCUGGUGGAUUUUGUUCCCUUCACUGGAAUCAUUUUCUCUCUUAUUUUGAUCCUGGUGCCCUGUGGAAUUGGAAUCCUACUCAACUACCGAGUGCCCCAGUAUUCUAAGAUCAUCACCCAGGCUGGAUUGACGCUCAUGCUGAUCUCUUGCAUUGUGAUUGGCGUACUUGCUGGUGUGGCUGAUGGAGGACAGAUUUUCAAAGUACUGUCAUCUCAACUUGUAGCCACUGCUGCAUUGAUGCCGUUGACUGGAUACAUAUUUGGAUAUAUCCUGUCCGCACUGUUUAGGAUGAAUGAACCGUAUUUGCAGACGGACUGUGUCUAUGGAGGUCGGUUGUCAAAACAUCCAGCUUUGUACCACAAUCCUGAAGGUGGCCUUUCCCGCUGAGAUCAUUGGUCGGCUGUACUUCUUUCCAGUCAUCUACAUUGUGUUCCAGAUUGUCGAGGCGCUGAUCUUUAUAUUCCUGUUCAGAUGCCAUCAGAAACUGAGGCCAUCUCAAAAAGGAACACAAGCCUACAGAACAGUAGAAAGAGCAGCUGAAGUGACGAAUGAGCCCCAGCAAUGACAUCUGAAGGUCACAGUGAAAAAAACACCACAGACAGGCAUGAGCGCAAGGUGAAUUGAUUAUUGCAAUCUUUAGUAAAGAGCAGAGAGAGUGAGGGAAACAUUAACUAGUAUGGAGCUGAACGGUCAAUACUGAUGCUGAUGUUGUUUUUGUUGUUGUUUUUUAUUCGAAAUUGUUCUAAUAGCAAUAAAUGUAGCUAAUUUUAUCAUCA